This 1586-nucleotide ribosomal RNA is filed under the name Capito niger. RNAcentral describes it as "16S ribosomal RNA". It matches the Rfam family "Bacterial large subunit ribosomal RNA". The record is from RNAcentral. Lineage: Eukaryota; Metazoa; Chordata; Aves; Piciformes; Ramphastidae.
AGCUCUUUUUCUAGCCCAACACCACCCACACCCUACAAAAAUAAAUCUUUUAACACCUAAUCAAAACAUUUCAUACACCUAGUAUAGGCGAUAGAAAAGUAAUCAUGGCGCUAUAGAAAGCCUUGUACCGCAAGGGAAAGAUGAAAUACUAAUGAAAUACUUAAGCACUAGAUAGCAAAGAUUAACCCUUGUACCUUUUGCAUCAUGGUUCAGCAAGAAACACCCAAGCAAAAUGACCUUAAGCUUGCCACCCCGAAACCUGAGCGAGCUACUUACAAGCAGCUAACAUAUGAGCUAACCCGUCUCUGUCGCAAAAGAGUGGGGUGACUUGUCAGUAGAGGUGAGAAGCCAAACGAGCCUGGUGAUAGCUGGUUGCCUGUGAAAUGAAUCUCAGUUCACCCCUGAUCACUCCCCCCAAUCCUCAACUUCCCAUGUAGUUGAUCAAGGAGUUAUUUAAAGGGGGUACAGCCCCUUUAAAAAAGGAUUCAACCUCAUAAAGCGGAUAAUUUAACACCACAAUAGCAACUGUUGGCCUUUAAGCAGCCACCAACAAAGAAUGCGUCAAAGCUCUGCCAAGCAAAAAUAUACCCACCCCAUGAAUCCCUCACCACUAACAGGCCAACCUAUUUUAAUAGGAGGAUUAAUGCUGAAAUAAGUAACUAGGGCCCUACCCCUCUUAAGCGCAAACUUACAUAUCACAUUAUUAAACAAAGCACGAUAAUACUACCCCCACUAGUACAACAUAUCAUACAAUCCUGUUACACCGACCCAGGAGCGCAUUAUUAGAAAGAUUAAAACCUAUAGAAGGAACUAGGCAAACCCAAGGCCCGACUGUUUACCAAAAACAUAGCCUUCAGCCGACCAAGUAUUGAAGGUGACGCCUGCCCAGUGACCCCUCCACGUUCAACGGCCGCGGUAUCCUAACCGUGCAAAGGUAGCACAAUCAAUUGUCCCAUAAAUUGAGACUUGUAUGAAUGGCUGAACGAGGUCUUAACUGUCUCCUGUAGGUAAUCAGUGAAAUUGAGCUCCCUGUGCAAAAGCAGGGAUAAUUACAUAAGACGAGAAGACCCUGUGGAACUUAAAAAUUAUGGCCACUACAUAUUUUAAUCUAGGUCCACUAGACCCUAUCCAAUUAACCCCCGUUGGCCUAUAUUUUUCGGCUGGGGCGGCCCUGGAGCACAACAAAACCUCCAGAAAUAGGACCCGAUUCUUAACUUAGAGCAACACCUCAACGUGCAAAUAGCUACCAGACCCAGUACAACUGAUCAAUGAACCAAGCUACCCCAGGGAUAACAGCGCAAUCCCCUUCAAGAGCCCCUAUCGACAAGGGGGUUUACGACCUCGAUGUUGGAUCAGGACACCCUAAUGGUGCAGCCGCUAUUAAGGGUUCGUUUGUUCAACGAUUAAUAGUCCUACGUGAUCUGAGUUCAGACCGGAGCAAUCCAGGUCGGUUUCUAUCUAUGCUAGAUUUUCUCUAGUACGAAAGGACCGAAAAAAUAAGGCCCCUACCACUAGUACGCCUUCCCCUCAAGCAAGGAAUUCAACUCAAUUGCCAAAAGGGCUAAAUAUUCCAAUCCUAAAAAAGG